CCUACGGGUGGCAGCAGUGGGGAAUAUUGCACAAUGGGGGAAACCCUGAUGCAGCGACGCCGCGUGAGUGAAGAAGUAUUUCGGUAUGUAAAGCCCUAUCAGCAGGGAAGAAAAUGACGGUACCUGAUUAAGAAGCCCCGGCUAACUACGGGCCAGCAGCCGCGGUAAUACGUAGGGGGCAAGCGUUAUCCGGAUUUACUGGGGGUAAAGGGAGCGUAGACGGCAGCACAAGUCUGGAGUGAAAUGCCGGGGCUUAACCCCGGAACUGCUUUGGAACCUGUGCAGCUAGAGUGCAGGAGAGGUAAGUGGAAUUCCUAGUGUAGCGGUGAAAUGCGUAGAUAUUAGGAGGAACACCAGUGGCGAAGGCGGCUUACUGGACUGUAACUGACGUUGAGGCUCGAAAGCGUGGGGAGCGAACAGGAUUAGAUACCCGAGUAGUC
This 440-nucleotide ribosomal RNA is filed under the name uncultured bacterium. Its description in RNAcentral is "partial 16S ribosomal RNA". It matches the Rfam family "Bacterial small subunit ribosomal RNA", at positions 338 to 795 of the family's 1533-position model. The record is from RNAcentral.